RNAcentral lists this long non-coding RNA (2058 nucleotides) under Sus scrofa (pig). RNAcentral's name for it is "lncRNA (ENSSSCG00030061096.1)". Lineage: Eukaryota; Metazoa; Chordata; Mammalia; Artiodactyla; Suidae. The record is from RNAcentral.
UCCUUCAUCUAUGACUCCCUUGGGCCUGACCCACCGAAAGAAGCCAGCAGGUCAUGAUUUUGGUUUCUGAAAUGCCUCUAAUUACUGCCCAGCUGCAUGUUUGGAACUCCAUCAAACAUAAGCAUCAGAGCCAUUAGCCUGAGAACCUGGACUAGCCUGGGGACAUGAGCCUAUGUUUGAGAAGCAGCAUUGGGUGGCACAUGGGAUCUCUUUGAGACUCAGGAGUCACUUCAGCUUCCAGAUGAUGGCUCUGUCUGCAAGAAUGGAAGCAAGGAGAGCCGUUAGAAGACUAUUCCAUUAAAUAAAGAGGAGAAGCUUGGUUCCCUCACAUGGGUGUGGUGUGAAGAUUUGCUCAAAGCCAAAAGGGAACCCAGUUGACAGCUUUCUUCCUUCUUCCUGUCUGGAAUAAGUUUGAGAAUUGGAAAGAAAGAGGUAACAUGAUCUCUGUUUGCAAUAGAUAAUGUAACAAUGUAAAAGGAAACCCUAAAAGAAUCAUUCUAAAAACUAAAAUUAAGAGACUUGAUUAAGUAGCAAUGUAAAAAAAAUUAAAUAAAAAUCAGUAGUCUUUUGUAUACCCAAAGAGUAACCAACUAGGUGAUAUUGAGGAAAGGGAAAUCACAGCUGUAGUUGUAAUAAAAAAGAUUUUUAAAACUUAGGAAUAAACUUAAAAUAUUUACUCUUGAAAGAUGCAAAAGUAGACUUGAAAAAAUGUAAAAGCAUACCUUGUUCAUGAAUUGGACAACUCUACAUCACACAUAUGUUAAUUCUUCUCAAGUUAGUAAAAAAAUAUAUAUAUGUAUAAUGUGAUUCCAUUAAAAAUAUUGAGAUUUUUUUCUCCUAAAAUAGACUCUUGAUUCUAAAGUUAUUUUGGGAAAUGAACAAGCAAAGAAAGGUAAGAAAACCCCAAAAAGAAGAGAGGAACUAGCUCUGUAAGUUGUUAAAACAUUUUAUAAAGCCCUUAUAAAUAAAGAAGUAUGUUCACGGAUACAUAACUAGAUAUAGAGAAUUAUAGAAUAGAAUAAGAAAUUCAAAGUAGAGCAAUUAUAUGUGAAAAGUGGCACCUAAAAUCACUGGUGAAAAUGUACUAUUUUUAAUAAAUGUUUUUGGCAUAACUGGAUAGCCAUUUGGGAAAAAGUAAAAUUGAAUCCAUGGCUCAGGCUGGAUAUGAGAAUGAAAUCCAAAUAAUCCAAAUAUCUAAAUGUAAAAAGUAAAACUACACAAGAAAACAAGGAUUUGUUUUUUUAUAAACUGAGCCUUUCCAAUUAUAACUACAAAUCCAGAAGCAUCAAAGAAUGUCCUAAAACAUUGACAAACUUGACUACAUAAAAACAAAAAAACUUUUUCAAAGCAAAUGCCACUAAACAAUUUAAAAACCUAGAAGGAAAUAUUUGUAAUUUACAUCACUAAAUUAUAUUAUAAUCGCCUAAUUGAUGAAGCGCUCUUAAAAUCUGGAAAGAGAAAAGCCAAAUCCCACUGGGGAAAGAUGUGAACAGAGUUUUAAAGAAAAAACCAAUGUCUUGGUGGCAGUCGUGGUGGUGGUGGAUAUGGUGGCAGUGGAGAUGGCUAUAAUUUGGUAAUGAUGGAAGCAGUUUUGGAGGUGGUGGAAGCGACAAUGAUUUUGGCACUUACAACAAUCAAUCUUCAAAUUUUGGACCCAUGAAAGGAGGAAACUUUGGAGGCAGAAGUUCUGGCCCCUGUGGUGGUAGAGGCCAAUACUUUGCUGAACCAUGAAACUAAGAUGGCCAUGGCAGUUCCAGCAGCAGCAGUAGCUAUGGCAGUGGCGGAAGGUUUUAAUUAUUACUGCCAAGGAGGAGUCUGCUACUACAGGCUUGUCAGCUCUUAAAAAACCAGAAGCUCAUCAGUCCAAGCUCAUGGCUAAAAGGAACAUCUUUAAGAGGACCUUUAUCUGAGCCACUCACUGCUCACAUUGUUUUAACUGCCAUGCAGUAAUCAUUAGCUGCUAUGCAGCUGAAAUUAAUCAAUUCAGUUUUGUGAAUGGACUUUGGAAAAUAAAAAUGCAUUUAACUUGGAAGUAAAAAAAAAAAAAGAAAAGAAAAA